This 367-nucleotide ribosomal RNA is filed under the name unidentified archaeon. RNAcentral's name for it is "bacterial SSU rRNA". It matches the Rfam family "Archaeal small subunit ribosomal RNA", at positions 90 to 460 of the family's 1478-position model. The record is from RNAcentral.
UCAGUAACACGUAGUCAACAUGCCCAGGGGACGUGAAUAACCUCGGGAAACUGAGGAUAAACCGCGAUAGGUCACUACUUCUGGAAUGGGUAAUGACCCAAACCUAUAUGGCCCCUGGAUUGGACUGCGGCCGAUCAGGCUGUUGGUGAGGUAAUGGCCCACCAAACCUGUAACCGGUACGGGCUCUGAGAGGAGGAGCCCGGAGAUGGGCACUGAGACAAGGGCCCAGGCCCUAUGGGGCGCAGCAGGCGCGAAACCUCUGCAAUAGGCGAAAGCUUGACAGGGUUACUCUGAGUGAUUUCCGUUAAGGAGAUCUUUUGGCACCUCUAAAAAUGGUGCAGAAUAAGGGGUGGCAAGUCUGGUGCCA